Molecule: ribosomal RNA, 207 nt
Filed under: uncultured bacterium
Lineage: Bacteria
Description: partial 16S ribosomal RNA
Rfam family: Bacterial small subunit ribosomal RNA
Source: RNAcentral
CGCGUAGGCGGCUAAGAAAGUCAGAUGUGAAAUUCCGGGGCUCAACCCCGGAGCUGCAUUUGAAACUUCAGAGCUAGAGUAUAGUUAGGGUAAACGGAAUUCCACGUGUAGCGGUGAAAUGCGUAGAUAUGUGGAAGAACACCGGUGGUGAAGACGGUUUACUGGGCUAUAACUGACGCUGAGGCGCGAAAGCAAGGGGAGCAAACA